This is a long non-coding RNA of Arabidopsis thaliana (thale cress), 203 nucleotides long. RefSeq annotates it as other RNA. The record is from RefSeq. Lineage: Eukaryota; Viridiplantae; Streptophyta; Magnoliopsida; Brassicales; Brassicaceae. The transcript has a single exon.
UCUGUCUCUCCAUACUAAAAAGGUAUGUAAACAAAAAAUCUAAAAACCACAAUAAUAUUGGGUCUCUGUCAAUGGAAUUGAAUUUACUGAGAAGAGCAGUGGUCAGCUCACCGGUCUAUCACAACAUUUAUAAAAACACAUUUAAAGCUUAAACUCCAUAUGACCCACUUUCUCUCUCCCUCUAUCUCUCAAGCUACUACUAU